UGGGGAAUAUUGCACAAUGGGCGAAAGCCUGAUGCAGCGACGCCGCGUGAGGGAUGACGGCCUUCGGGUUGUAAACCUCUUUCAGCAGGGAAGAAGCGAAAGUGACGGUACCUGCAGAAGAAGCGCCGGCUAACUACGUGCCAGCAGCCGCGGUAAUACGUAGGGCGCAAGCGUUGUCCGGAAUUAUUGGGCGUAAAGAGCUCGUAGGCGGUUAGUCGCGUCUGCUGUGAAAACUCGAGGCUCAACCUCGGGCUUGCAGUGGGUACGGGCUGACUAGAGUGCAGUAGGGGUGACUGGAAUUCCUGGUGUAGCGGUGGAAUGCGCAGAUAUCAGGAGGAACACCGAUGGCGAAGGCAGGUCACUGGGCCGCAACCGACGCUGAGGAGCGAAAGCAUGGGGAGCGAACAGGAUUAGAUACCCUGGUAGUCCAUGCCGUAAACGUUGGGCACUAGGUGUGGGGUCCAUUCCACGGAUUCCGUGCCGCAGCAAACGCAUUAAGUGCCCCGCCUGGGGAGUACGGCCGCAAGGCUAAAACUCAAAUGAAUUGACGGGGUCAUAGCUGUUUCCU
Molecule: ribosomal RNA, 568 nt
Filed under: uncultured bacterium
Lineage: Bacteria
Description: partial 16S ribosomal RNA
Rfam family: Bacterial small subunit ribosomal RNA
Source: RNAcentral